Molecule: long non-coding RNA, 250 nt
Filed under: Vitis vinifera (wine grape)
Lineage: Eukaryota; Viridiplantae; Streptophyta; Magnoliopsida; Vitales; Vitaceae
Description: long non-coding RNA (VVIN_LNC001573)
Source: RNAcentral
ACUCCACAACAAACUUCGAACCUGGAGAACCUUCGUGACUCGUUGACCUCCAUGACCAUUGGACCAACCAAGAGCUCCAACAGAACUUGCAACUACUUCUUGGUAUCCUGAAACCAUUACUAGAUGAAUGGAAUAAACAAACAACAGGGACAGCAAAGCUAAUGUCAAGCCACCACACUGUCCUGAAAAUUGGAUCAUAAGGCACCCCCAGCUGAUGCCUUCUCCAUUUUUUCCUUUUCAAUCUCUACCC